Molecule: small nuclear RNA, 109 nt
Filed under: Catagonus wagneri (Chacoan peccary)
Lineage: Eukaryota; Metazoa; Chordata; Mammalia; Artiodactyla; Tayassuidae
Source: RNAcentral
GUGCUUGCUUUGCAGCAGCUCAUGUACUAAAAUUGGAAUAAUACAGAGAAGAUUAUCAUGGCCCCGGCAUAAGGAUGACAAACACACUCGUGGAGCAUUCCAGGUUUUA